This 40-nucleotide ribosomal RNA is filed under the name Stevia rebaudiana. RNAcentral's name for it is "partial 26S rRNA". RNAcentral also lists the same sequence under 54 other names. Lineage: Eukaryota; Viridiplantae; Streptophyta; Magnoliopsida; Asterales; Asteraceae. The record is from RNAcentral.
UCGCGACCCCAGGUCAGGCGGGACUACCCGCUGAGUUUAA